GGGGCUAGCGUUGCUCGGAAUUACUGGGCGUAAAGGGAGCGUAGGCGGAUAGUUUAGUCAGAGGUGAAAGCCCAGGGCUCAACCUUGGAAUUGCCUUUGAUACUGGCUAUCUUGAGUACGGAAGAGGUAUGUGGAACUCCGAGUGUAGAGGUGAAAUUCGUAGAUAUUCGGAAGAACACCAGUGGCGAAGGCGACAUACUGGUCCGUUACUGACGCUGAGGCUCGAAAGCGUGGGGAGCAAACAGG
Molecule: ribosomal RNA, 246 nt
Filed under: uncultured bacterium
Lineage: Bacteria
Description: partial 16S ribosomal RNA
Rfam family: Bacterial small subunit ribosomal RNA
Source: RNAcentral